GAGGGGCACACUCUUUCCGGUUUGCUUCCGGUUUUUUCCUCAGGCUUCCGGUCUGUUUGGUGCCCUGGUCGCGUGUCUUCCGAACUCUGCUGCUUCGCCCCGGCAAGAGCACUUCCUUCCGCGGCUGCUAAAACUGGUGCGCGGGUUCCCAACUUCGCAGAAGAGCUUCAUCGGCCCCCCGCUAGAGACCUCAGACCGCAGCCAUCGACGCCUCGCCUCGGGGAUCUGUCCCCACCCUCGGGGCCAGCUCACCAUGAGUCAGGCCCUGUGCUAGGUGCUGGGAUGAAGCAGUGACUGACACAGGCCUGGACCUGUCCUUGGGAAGAGUGCGUCUGUGACACAGAUACUGUGCCAUGUGGCAAAACUUGAAUGGAGACAUCAGCUCUUUGUGGGUCUCAAGUCUACUGGCUUUCAAUCAGCUCUUCUGCUUGACAGCUGCAGGUCUUGGGACUGCCCAGCCCCCAUAACCCUGUGAGUGCAUUCCUGAUAAUAACCCUCUUUCUCUUGUCCUCCCCCACCCCACAUCAUUGGUUCUGUUUCUCUGGAGAACCAUAAUACAUCAUUUACUAAUCAGGAAAUAGAUUCAGAGACAUUAAUAACUCAUCCAACCUCACAGUUAACUGUAGAGUUGGGCUUGAAAUUCCAAGGUCGAUUUUCUUAGCCAAUACACCAUGCUACAUAUAUGUAUGUAAAAAUAAAAACGCUUGUGAACUGAA
RNAcentral lists this long non-coding RNA (716 nucleotides) under Homo sapiens (human). RNAcentral's name for it is "non-protein coding MINCR:3". The record is from RNAcentral. Lineage: Eukaryota; Metazoa; Chordata; Mammalia; Primates; Hominidae.